CCGGACAGGGGUCAGGCUGACCGUUUCUUUGUAGGACUAUGUUAUAGCAAUGUCUUGCCAGGACUUGAUCUCCUCUGACUUCUCCGACCCCCUGGCUAGUAGGAAAUUUCAAUUUCAAAUGGUAGAUCGAUACUACAGCUCGGAGGGCGUUGAGGUCAGAUCGGCCGAGUAUUGCGUUGUAGGCAGACAACGCCCUCACUAUCAGAAA
RNAcentral lists this long non-coding RNA (208 nucleotides) under Elaeis guineensis (African oil palm). Its description in RNAcentral is "long non-coding RNA (EGUI_LNC039345)". Lineage: Eukaryota; Viridiplantae; Streptophyta; Magnoliopsida; Arecales; Arecaceae. The record is from RNAcentral.